Molecule: non-coding RNA, 264 nt
Filed under: Burkholderia sp.
Lineage: Bacteria; Pseudomonadati; Pseudomonadota; Betaproteobacteria; Burkholderiales; Burkholderiaceae
Also listed under: 1 other name
Source: RNAcentral
UAUCGUAUGCGCGCGUUUGGUGCCCGCACAUGCGUUCGCGUGUGCAGUUAAACGGGAAACAGGCCGCGCUUUUUGCGCUCAACCUGUGCUGUCCCCGCAACGGUAAGCGACCUGCGACGCAAGCGCCGUUCCGGCCGCGUCGCGCAUGCGUUUUUGAUGCCACUGUCCUGAGGAUGCGCGUUCGCGCGAGUCCGUAAGCCGGGACGGGAAGGCAAAGCGCGUGAGGCCGCCAGCCCGGAUACCGGCCAGACGCGGAGGCGGCGU